This 402-nucleotide ribosomal RNA is filed under the name uncultured prokaryote. RNAcentral describes it as "bacterial SSU rRNA". It matches the Rfam family "Bacterial small subunit ribosomal RNA", at positions 355 to 774 of the family's 1533-position model. The record is from RNAcentral.
UGGGGAAUAUUGGACAAUGGGCGCAAGCCUGAUCCAGCCAUGCCGCGUGAGUGAUGAAGGCCUUAGGGUUGUAAAGCUCUUUUGCCGGGGACGAUAAUGACGGUACCCGGAGAAUAAGUCCCGGCUAACUUCGUGCCAGCAGCCGCGGUAAUACGAAGGGGACUAGCGUUGUUCGGAAUCACUGGGCGUAAAGCGCACGUAGGCGGAUCAUUUAGUCAGGGGUGAAAUCCCGGGGCUCAACCUCGGAACUGCCUUUGAUACUGAUGGUCUCGAGUUCGAUAGAGGUGGGUAGAAUUCCUAGUGUAGAGGUGAAAUUCGUAGAUAUUAGGAAGAAUACCGGUGGCGAAGGCGGCCCACUGGAUCGAUACUGACGCUGAGGUGCGAAAGCGUGGGGAGCAAACA